This 539-nucleotide ribosomal RNA is filed under the name uncultured bacterium. Its description in RNAcentral is "bacterial SSU rRNA". It matches the Rfam family "Bacterial small subunit ribosomal RNA", at positions 777 to 1315 of the family's 1533-position model. The record is from RNAcentral.
AAUAGAUACCCAGGUAGUCCACCCCGUAAACGUUGGGAACUAGUUGUGGGGACCAUUCCACGGUUUCCGUGACGCAGCUAACGCAUUAAGUUCCCCGCCUGGGGAGUACGGCCGCAAGGCUAAAACUCAAAGGAAUUGACGGGGACCCGCACAAGCGGCGGAGCAUGCGGAUUAAUUCGAUGCAACGCGAAGAACCUUACCAAGGCUUGACAUAUACGAGAACGGGCCAGAAAUGGUCAACUCUUUGGACACUCGUAAACAGGUGGUGCAUGGUUGUCGUCAGCUCGUGUCGUGAGAUGUUGGGUUAAGUCCCGCAACGAGCGCAACCCUCGUUCUAUGUUGCCAGCACGUAAUGGUGGGAACUCAUGGGAUACUGCCGGGGUCAACUCGGAGGAAGGUGGGGAUGACAUCAAAUCAUCAUGCCCCUUAUGUCUUGGGCUUCACGCAUGCUACAAUGGCCGGUACAAAGGGCUGCAAUCCGUAAGGUGGAGCGAAUCCCAAAAAGCCGGUCCCAGUUCGGAUUGAGGUCUGCAACUCGA